This is a non-coding RNA of Phyllopteryx taeniolatus (common seadragon), 83 nucleotides long. Lineage: Eukaryota; Metazoa; Chordata; Actinopteri; Syngnathiformes; Syngnathidae. The record is from the annotation of a RefSeq genome assembly.
GUCAGGAUGGCCGAGCGGUCCGAGGCUCUGCAUUCAGGUUGCAGUCUCUAUGGAGGCGUGGGUUCAAAAUCCCACUCCUGACA